GUAGGGUGCGAGCGUUAAUCGGAAUUACUGGGCGUAAAGUGUGCGCAGGCGGCCAUGCAAGUCGAGUGUGAAAGCCCCGGGCUUAACUUGGGAAUUGCGCUCGAAACUACGUGGCUGGAGUGUGGCAGAGGAAGGUGGAAUUCCACGUGUAGCGGUGAAAUGCGUAGAGAUGUGGAGGAACACCAAUGGCGAAGGCAGCCUUCUGGGCCAACACUGACGCUCAUGCACGAAAGCGUGGGGAGCAAACAGGAUUAGAUACCCUGGUAGUCCACGCCCUAAACGAUGACGACUAGUUGUUGGAGGAGUUAAAUCCUUUAGUAACGCAGCUAACGCGCGAAGUCGUCCGCCUGGGGAGUACGGUCGCAAGAUUA
Molecule: ribosomal RNA, 371 nt
Filed under: uncultured organism
Description: bacterial SSU rRNA
Rfam family: Bacterial small subunit ribosomal RNA
Source: RNAcentral